This 72-nucleotide transfer RNA is filed under the name Pyrrhoderma noxium. It matches the Rfam family "tRNA". From Rfam's summary of the family: Transfer RNA (tRNA) molecules are approximately 80 nucleotides in length. Their secondary structure includes four short double-helical elements and three loops (D, anti-codon, and T loops). Further hydrogen bonds mediate the characteristic L-shaped molecular structure. tRNAs have two regions of fundamental functional importance: the anti-codon, which is responsible for specific mRNA codon recognition, and the 3' end, to which the tRNAs corresponding amino acid is attached (by aminoacyl-tRNA synthetases). tRNAs cope with the degeneracy of the genetic code in two manners: having more than one tRNA (with a specific anti-codon) for a particular amino acid; and 'wobble' base-pairing, i.e. permitting non-standard base-pairing at the 3rd anti-codon position. The record is from Rfam by way of RNAcentral. Lineage: Eukaryota; Fungi; Basidiomycota; Agaricomycetes; Hymenochaetales; Hymenochaetaceae.
AAGCCUAUAAUUUAAUGGUUAGAAUGAUUUCUUGAUAAGGAAUUAGAAGAAGUUCAAAUCUUCUUGGGCUUA